Molecule: non-coding RNA, 135 nt
Organism: Triticum aestivum (bread wheat)
Lineage: Eukaryota; Viridiplantae; Streptophyta; Magnoliopsida; Poales; Poaceae
Source: Rfam
AAAGUACUCCCUCCGUCCCAAAAUUCUUGUCUUAGAUUUGUCUAGAUACAGAUGUAUCAAGUCACAUUUUAGUAUUAGAUACAUCCGUAUCUAGACAAAUCUAAGACAAGAAAUUUGGGACAAAGGGAGUAGUUG